RNAcentral lists this ribosomal RNA (487 nucleotides) under Triticum aestivum (bread wheat). RNAcentral's name for it is "partial small subunit ribosomal RNA". The record is from RNAcentral. Lineage: Eukaryota; Viridiplantae; Streptophyta; Magnoliopsida; Poales; Poaceae.
AUGACAGGAAAGUAUGUAAAGGAUCCUAUGCUUGACUCAUAUCCUUAUGGUGGUUACUCGUAUAUGUUCUAUACAUAUAAUUUUUCCUCAGUGAUCGUUAAGGGACGUGAGCUUGAUUAUGGUAUUGGCAUUUUGGAUUUGGUGAGCGUUGACUUAUCUUUGAACCAACUAACUGGGAGAAUACCAGAAGAAAUAGCUGCUCUUGAUGCAUUGAUGAACUUGAAUCUAUCGUGCAACCAGUUGAGUGGGAAAAUCCCAAAUAAGCUUGGGGCCUUGCAGGCUUUGGAAUCACUUGACCUCUCAAGUAACAUGCUUUCUGGUGGAAUCCCUUCGAGCCUGUCAGAUAUAACCUAUUUGAGUUACUUGGACUUGUCUGAUAACAAUCUCACUGGGAGAAUACCAUCAGGUCGUCAGCUUGACACCCUCUACACCCAGCAACCUUCCAUGUACAGUGGCAACAGUGGUCUAUGUGGCCCUCUUCCAAACA